UGGCACUCCUGAUGUUUUGAACUACACCUCCCAUGAUGCUUUGCCAGAGCAUUAUGGGGGAUGUAGUCCAAAACAUCUGGAGUGCCG
Pelobates cultripes (western spadefoot toad) is the source of this 87-nucleotide non-coding RNA. NCBI's taxonomy places the organism in Eukaryota, Metazoa, Chordata, Amphibia, Anura, Pelobatidae. The record is from the annotation of a GenBank genome assembly.